RNAcentral lists this unclassified non-coding RNA (173 nucleotides) under uncultured Mortierellaceae. RNAcentral's name for it is "sequence contains ITS1". Lineage: Eukaryota; Fungi; Mortierellomycota; Mortierellomycetes; Mortierellales; Mortierellaceae. The record is from RNAcentral.
CAAUUAAAGUGAUUUUUUAUACUUUUUUAAAAAAAUCCAUACCCACCUUGUGUGCAAUGUAUGAAAAAGAAGGGUUUUUUUCUCUUCUUUUUUUUAUAUCAUCAACUCCUCUUUGCUUUGAAACCAGUUUGUCUGAAAUAAAAAUAUUCUUUGAAUAACUUAAUUCAAAAAUA